This 53-nucleotide non-coding RNA is filed under the name unclassified sequences. RNAcentral describes it as "L31-Gammaproteobacteria ribosomal protein leader". It matches the Rfam family "L31-Gammaproteobacteria ribosomal protein leader". The record is from RNAcentral.
CGUAUGGUGUUUAAGCUUUAGAGCUUAAAUGGCGAUACGGCCGAAAUAAAGGU